UGGGGAAUUUUGGACAAUGGGCGAAGGCCUGAUCCAGCAAUGCCGCGUGUGUGAAGAAGGCCUUCGGGUUGUAAAGCACUUUUGUCCGGAAAGAAAUCCUUGGCUCUAAUACAGUCGGGGGAUGACGGUACCGGAAGAAUAAGCACCGGCUAACUACGUGCCAGCAGCCGCGGUAAUACGUAGGGUGCAAGCGUUAAUCGGAAUUACUGGGCGUAAAGCGUGCGCAGGCGGUUUGCUAAGACCGAUGUGAAAUCCCCGGGCUCAACCUGGGAACUGCAUUGGUGACUGGCAGGCUAGAGUAUGGCAGAGGGGGGUAGAAUUCCACGUGUAGCAGUGAAAUGCGUAGAGAUGUGGAGGAAUACCGAUGGCGAAGGCAGCCCCCUGGGCCAAUACUGACGCUCAUGCACGAAAGCGUGGGGAGCAAACAGGAUUAGAUACCCUGGUAGUCCACGCCCUAAACGAUGUCAACUAGUUGUUGGGGAUUCAUUUCCUUAGUAACGUAGCUAACGCGUGAAGUUGACCGCCUGGGGAGUACGGUCGCAAGAUUAAAACUCAAAUGAAUUGACGGGGUCAUAGCUGUUUUCU
RNAcentral lists this ribosomal RNA (585 nucleotides) under uncultured bacterium. RNAcentral's name for it is "partial 16S ribosomal RNA". It matches the Rfam family "Bacterial small subunit ribosomal RNA", at positions 355 to 938 of the family's 1533-position model. The record is from RNAcentral.